Molecule: ribosomal RNA, 690 nt
Filed under: Pseudomonas sp.
Lineage: Bacteria; Pseudomonadati; Pseudomonadota; Gammaproteobacteria; Pseudomonadales; Pseudomonadaceae
Description: bacterial SSU rRNA
Rfam family: Bacterial small subunit ribosomal RNA
Source: RNAcentral
GCCUAGGAAUUUGCCUGGUAGUGGGGGAAACUUAAAAAAGGAACGCUAAUUCCGCAUACGUCCUACGGGAGAAAGUGGGGGAUCUUCGGACCUCACGCUAUCAGAUGAGCCUAGGUCGGAUUAGCUAGUUGGUGAGGUAAAGGCUCACCAAGGCGACGAUCCGUAACUGGUCUGAGAGGAUGAUCAGUCACACUGGAACUGAGACACGGUCCAGACUCCUACGGGAGGCAGCAGUGGGGAAUAUUGGACAAUGGGCGAAAGCCUGAUCCAGCCAUGCCGCGUGUGUGAAGAAGGUCUUCGGAUUGUAAAGCACUUUAAGUUGGGAGGAAGGGCAGUAAGUUAAUACCUUGCUGUUUUGACGUUACCGACAGAAUAAGCACCGGCUAACUUCGUGCCAGCAGCCGCGGUAAUACGAAGGGUGCAAGCGUUAAUCGGAAUUACUGGGCGUAAAGCGCGCGUAGGUGGUUCGUUAAGUUGGAUGUGAAAGCCCCGGGCUCAACCUGGGAACUGCAUCCAAAACUGGCGAGCUAGAGUAUGGCAGAGGGUGGUGGAAUUUCCUGUGUAGCGUUGAAAUGCGUAGAUAUAGGAAUGAACACCAGUGGCGAAGCGACCACCUGGGCUAAUACUGACACUGAGGUGCGAAAAGCGUGGGGAGCAAACAGGAUUAGAUACCCUUGGUAGUCUAACGCC